AUGCGAUUGUUUGCUAAUAAAAUUGUUUCUUUCGAUCCUAAUGGUAUGCCUUUGUCCACUUUGAUCGAGAAUAAUAAUGAAUCUAUGGAUGUGAAUUUUCUUGGUAGGAACAAUUUUGGUAACAACGCGUAUAGAGGAAACUUUAAUUGUAGGCCGUUUCCUAGUAAUUCCUCUAAUAAUUAUGGCAAUUCCUACAACAACUCUUAUGGAAAUUUUAAUAAGAUGACCUCUGAUUUUGAGAUUAGUGUUAAAGAAUUUAUGAGUUCACAAAAGAAUUUGAAUGCUUUUGUUGAAGAAAAAUUCCCUAAGAUUGAUGAGUUGGCUAGGAACAUGGAUAGAAUUUCUCUUGAUGUUGAUUCUUUGAAACUUAGAUCUAUUCCACCUAAGCAUGAAAUCAAUGAGUCUCUCAAUGCCAUGAGAAUUUCCAUUUACGAGUGCAAAGAAAGAACUGCUAGGAUGCGUGCUAAAAAAGAUUGCUUUGUGAAAACAUGUUCUUCUAGUUUUCAUGAUAAUAAUGAUGAAGAUCUAAAAGUGAUUGAUGUGUCUCCUGUUAAAUCUUUGUUUUCUAAUAUGAAUCUUGAUAAAGAUGGGACUGGAGAUGAGUCAACUUUAGUUAAAAGGCGUCCCAAUGAUUCGGAGUUUUAG
RNAcentral lists this ribosomal RNA (645 nucleotides) under Triticum aestivum (bread wheat). RNAcentral's name for it is "partial small subunit ribosomal RNA". Lineage: Eukaryota; Viridiplantae; Streptophyta; Magnoliopsida; Poales; Poaceae. The record is from RNAcentral.